GCGGAGAUUGCAGACAACACCGC
Molecule: small nuclear RNA, 23 nt
Filed under: Arabidopsis thaliana (thale cress)
Lineage: Eukaryota; Viridiplantae; Streptophyta; Magnoliopsida; Brassicales; Brassicaceae
Description: snRNA_03400
Source: RNAcentral